RNAcentral lists this ribosomal RNA (581 nucleotides) under uncultured fungus. Its description in RNAcentral is "eukaryotic LSU rRNA". The stretch from base 211 to 364 matches the Rfam family "5.8S ribosomal RNA". Lineage: Eukaryota; Fungi. The record is from RNAcentral.
CUUGGUCAUUUAGAGGAAGUAAAAGUCGUAACAAGGUCUCCGUUGGUGAACCAGCGGAGGGAUCAUUAUCGAGUUAUUCAACUCCCAAACCCUAUGUGAACUUACCACUUGUUGCUUCGGUGCGCGCUUCGGCGCCGCCGAGGACACUUAAACUCUUUGUUUUUAUAAGCAUUUCUGAGUGGCCGAAAGGCAAAAAUACAAAUGAAUCAAAACUUUCAACAACGGAUCUCUUGGUUCUGGCAUCGAUGAAGAACGCAGCGAAAUGCGAUAAGUAAUGUGAAUUGCAGAAUUCAGUGAAUCAUCGAAUCUUUGAACGCACAUUGCGCCCGCCAGCAUUCUGGCGGGCAUGCCUGUUCGAGCGUCAUUUCAACCCUCGAGCCCGACUCUUUUGAGGACGGCUCGGCGUUGGGGGACGGCAGACUCCCCCCGGCAUCUCGCCGGGGACGCCGCCCCCGAAAUCUAGUGGCGGCCCUCCGAGGCGACCUCUGCGUAGUAACUUGUUCUCGCACCGGAAAGCUCAGAGCGGCCACGCCGUAAAACCCCAACUUUUUUCAGGUUGACCUCGAAUCAGGUAGGACUAC